CCUACGGGGGGCAGCAGUGGGGAAUAUUGCACAAUGGGGGAAACCCUGAUGCAGCGACGCCGCGUGAGUGAAGGAGUAAUUCGUUAUGUAAAGCUCUAUCAGCAGGGAAGAAAAUGACGGUACCUGAGUAAGAAGCCCCGGCUAACUACGUGCCAGCAGCCGCGGUAAUACGUAGGGGGCAAGCGUUAUCCGGAUUUACUGGGUGUAAAGGGAUCGUAGAGGGGAGUGCAAGUCUGGAGUGAAAGGCGGGGGCGCAACCCCGGGACUGCUCUGGAAACUGUACGGCUGGAGUGCAGGAGAGGUAAGUGGAAUUCCUAGUGUAGCGGUGAAAUGCGUAGAUAUUAGGAGGAACACCAGUGGCGAAGGCGGCUUACUGGACUGUAACUGACGUUGAGGCUCGAAAGCGUGGGGAGCAAACAGGAUUAGAUACCCCUGUAGUC
This 440-nucleotide ribosomal RNA is filed under the name uncultured bacterium. RNAcentral's name for it is "partial 16S ribosomal RNA". It matches the Rfam family "Bacterial small subunit ribosomal RNA", at positions 338 to 795 of the family's 1533-position model. The record is from RNAcentral.